This 492-nucleotide ribosomal RNA is filed under the name uncultured bacterium. Its description in RNAcentral is "partial 16S ribosomal RNA". It matches the Rfam family "Bacterial small subunit ribosomal RNA", at positions 29 to 507 of the family's 1533-position model. The record is from RNAcentral.
AGUGAACGCUGGCGGUAGGCCUAACACAUGCAAGUCGAACGGCAGCACAGUAAGAGCUUGCUCUUACGGGUGGCGAGUGGCGGACGGGUGAGGAAUACAUCGGAAUCUACUUUUUCGUGGGGGAUAACGUAGGGAAACUUACGCUAAUACCGCAUACGACCUACGGGUGAAAGCAGGGGAUCUUCGGACCUUGCGCGAUUGAAUGAGCCGAUGUCGGAUUAGCUAGUUGGCGGGGUAAAGGCCCACCAAGGCGACGAUCCGUAGCUGGUCUGAGAGGAUGAUCAGCGACACGGGAGCUGAGACGCGGUCCAUACGCCUACGGGAGGCAGCAGUGUGGAAUAUUGGACAAUGGGCGCAAGCCUGACCCAGCGAUACCGCGUGGGUUGAGAAGGCCUUCGGUUUGUAAAGCCCUUUUGUUGGGAAAGAAAAGCAUCAGGUUAAUACCCCGCUGUUCUGACGGUACCCAAAGAAUAAGCACCGGCUAACUUCGUG